GUGGCAACCCCAGAGCACUUAGGAGGUUGAGGACUGCUUGUGAGAGGGCAAAGAGAACUCUGUCCUCCACUGCCCAAACCACCAUUGAAAUUGAUUCUUUGUAUGAAGGAAUUGAUUUCUAUUCCACCAUUACCCGUGCCAGGUUUGAAGAGCUUAAUAUGGAUCUCUUCCGGAAGUGCAUGGAACCGGUUGAGAAGUGUUUAAGAGAUGCUAAGAUGGACAAGAGGACUGUCCAUGAUGUUGUUCUUGUUGGUGGUUCUACUAGAAUUCCCAAGGUUCAACAACUUCUGCAGGACUUCUUUAACGGAAAGGAGCUCUGCAAGAGCAUCAAUCCUGAUGAGGCUGUGGCAUAUGGUGCUGCUGUACAAGCUGCUAUCUUGAGUGGUGAGGGUAACGAGAAGGUGCAAGAUCUUCUCCUGCUCGAUGUCACCCCACUCUCUCUGGGGUUGGAAACUGCUGGUGGGGUUAUGACUGUCUUGAUCCCCAGGAACACUACAAUCCCAACAAAGAAAGAACAGGUUUUCUCAACCUAUUCUGAUAACCAGCCAGGUGUUUUGAUCCAGGUUUAUGAAGGUGAGAGAACAAGGACCAGAGAUAAUAAUUUGCUGGGUAAAUUUGAACUUUCGGGCAUUCCUCCUGCACCCAGGGGUGUUCCUCAAAUCACAGUGUGCUUUGACAUCGAUGCCAAUGGUAUCUUGAAUGUCUCUGCCGAAGACAAAACUACUGGCCAAAAGAACAAGAUCACCAUUACCAACGAUAAGGGUAGGUUGUCAAAGGAAGAAAUUGAGAAGAUGGUGCAAGAGGCCGAGAAGUACAAGUCUGAAGAUGAAGAGCAUAAGAAGAAGGUAGAAGCAAAGAAUGCAUUGGAGAACUACGCAUACAACAUGAGGAAUACUGUGAAGGAUGAGAAGAUUGGAGGAAAGCUUGACCCAGCUGACAAGAAGAAGAUCGAGGAUGCUGUUGAGCAGACU
RNAcentral lists this long non-coding RNA (971 nucleotides) under Vigna radiata. RNAcentral's name for it is "long non-coding RNA (VRAD_LNC008716)". The record is from RNAcentral. Lineage: Eukaryota; Viridiplantae; Streptophyta; Magnoliopsida; Fabales; Fabaceae.